This 492-nucleotide ribosomal RNA is filed under the name uncultured bacterium. Its description in RNAcentral is "partial 16S ribosomal RNA". It matches the Rfam family "Bacterial small subunit ribosomal RNA", at positions 29 to 507 of the family's 1533-position model. The record is from RNAcentral.
AGUGAACGCUGGCGGUAGGCCUAACACAUGCAAGUCGAACGGCAGCACAGUAAGAGCUUGCUCUUACGGGUGGCGAGUGGCGGACGGGUGAGGAAUACAUCGGAAUCUACUUUUUCGUGGGGGAUAACGUAGGGAAACUUACGCUAAUACCGCAUACGACCUACGGGUGAAAGCAGGGGAUCUUCGGACCUUGCGCGAUUGAAUGAGCCGAUGUCGGAUUAGCUAGUUGGCGGGGUAAAGGCCCACCAAGGCGACGAUCCGUAGCUGGUCUGAGAGGAUGAUCAGCCACACUGGAACUGGGAGAAGGUCCAGACUCCUACGGGAGGCAGGAGGGGGGAAUAUUGGACAAUGGGCGGAAGCCUGAUCCAGCCAUACCGCGUGGGUGAAGAAGGCCUUCGGGUUGUAAAGCCCUUUUGUUGGGAAAGAAAAGCAGCGGGUUAAUACCCCGCUGUUCUGACGGUACCCAAAGAAUAAGCACCGGCUAACUUCGUG